RNAcentral lists this ribosomal RNA (459 nucleotides) under uncultured bacterium. Its description in RNAcentral is "partial 16S ribosomal RNA". It matches the Rfam family "Bacterial small subunit ribosomal RNA", at positions 338 to 795 of the family's 1533-position model. The record is from RNAcentral.
CCUACGGGAGGCAGCAGUGAGGAAUAUUGGUCAAUGGGCGCGAGCCUGAACCAGCCAAGCCGCGUGCAGGAAGAAGGUACAACGUGUCGUAAACUUCUUUUGUCAGGGAGUAAAGGCCGGUACGAGUCUCCGGUUGAAAGUACCUUACGAAUAAGCAUCGGCUAACUCCGUGCCAGCAGCCGCGGUAAUACGGAGGAUGCGAGCGUUAUCCGGAUUUAUUGGGUUUAAAGGGUGCGAAGGCGGCUGGUUAAGUCAGCGGUAAAAGGCCGGGGCUCAACCCCGUCGAGCCGCUGAGACUGGCGGGCUAGAGUUGAGGUGAGGUAGGCGGAAUGCGUGGUGUAGCGGUGAAAUGCUUAGAGAUCACGCAGAACCCCGAUUGCGAAGGCAGCGUACCAGCUUCACACUGACGUUGAGGCACGAAAGCGUGGGUAUCGAACAGGAUUAGAUACCCCAGUAGUC